ACAAUUUGAUAGAGUUUGUUGAUUUUGAUGAGGAUGGAUUUGUUUGGACAGCUUUAUAGAUGAAUUUCAUCCAUUCCUAAUUCACCUAAAAUAAAACCUGGCCAUGACGAUAAAAUAAGAUAAAUUAAGUAUUUUAGGGAAAGUCCUAGUUUAAAGAGAUCUGGCUGUGCUCCAUUUUAUGUCAAGAAUAAAAAAUUUAAAAAUAAUAAAAAAAUAAGGUCAUCGGGCGUGCAAGAAUCAUCCUCUAGCAACGGACAGAUGAGCAUGGAGUUAUUCACAACAAAAGUAACAUCCUCAUGUUUGUUGCAUCUCAUGUGGGACUCGUCCCAGCAUAGAAUAACAAGGGGCUCUGAGACGUUUCCUUGUGUUGCGACAGAGGAAAUGGAAAGCAAGCUUUCAGAGGAUAAUAAAGAUGUGAUGCUAUCAGAUUACCGAGUUCCACGCUCAGAAAGUGUGACAACUUUUGACUCUCAGCCUUUCCUCCCCCAGUCUCCGAUUUGGCUGCUCACAUCGCUGGUUGCCGAAAGUCAAGUCGAACACUUGGUCUUUGGGGUUUGGCAGAUUUCGGUCCGCAUCGCCAACGGAGCGCGAUGUCAGACAAAUGGCCGCUUGAUCGAAGUUUAAUACCCGUCUGUGGGUUGUCAGGUAUUGGAGCGCAGAUCCGACGCUCCCUGCCAUGUGAGAAAGGUCAGUCGCAUCAGAGCGAAGGUAGAGCGUCGUGGUGGAUCAACUGCUUGAAAACACAUUAUUAUGAUGCUGCUGCUUAUCAAAUGAUCGGCCCAUGGGGGGGAGGCUUCGAUUUCCGAGAAUCCGUAAGGAGGUCAUGGACACGAAAGCGUGAUUUCAAGAGCCAUCGAGUUGCUCUCCCCCCUGCAGAGGCACGGUUUGCAGAUGGUAGCAAAACUUGACCGCAACAGUCGAUCACAUCCUCAUCCAGGCAAAAACCGCCGCAAAAAGGGUGUGAGAGAGUGGCCACCGAGCUCGAACUCGAUCAAUCACAAACGAUGUAGCUUUCGCAUUACGGAAUAACCAGGAGGCAGCUUGCUGCGUUCAAGUGCUGGAUCACUGGUUAGUUGCGGUCGACGUAUCAACUCUAAUCGACACGCAACAAAGUCACUGAUUUUAGAUGUGGGUUUGAGCACGAACAGCAACUCUCACAUGGAGUCGGUCCCAGGGGUCUAGAUUCGGCCGAGCUUUGAAACUUUAGAGAAGCUAUUUGAGUUGGCCCGGCGUCGUCGCCUCCUCGUGACAGAGCCUCUCGCACGAGGUUUCGCGACGCGCUAUUCUCAAGGCACCCAACGAAAAGCGAAAGGGGGCUUCCGCACUUGUGCAUCUUUUGAGACUUUUUGCUCUUGUGAAAAUCUAUAUUCUUCUUCUCAUUCA
This is a non-coding RNA of Physcomitrium patens, 1383 nucleotides long. Lineage: Eukaryota; Viridiplantae; Streptophyta; Bryopsida; Funariales; Funariaceae. The record is from RefSeq and is a predicted model, not a curated record.